Long non-coding RNA from Brassica oleracea var. oleracea, 480 nucleotides. RefSeq lists it as uncharacterized. Lineage: Eukaryota; Viridiplantae; Streptophyta; Magnoliopsida; Brassicales; Brassicaceae. The transcript is spliced from 2 exons. The record is from RefSeq and is a predicted model, not a curated record.
UCGAAGUAGAAGAAGCUCCAUACGAGACAGAGACCGACUAAGAAGAAGCCCAACACUCCUAGAGACGGCUCGAGGACGAGCCUCGACCUCUUGAAUCUCUUCAGAGCUUCGGAGAUUGGCUUCUCUUCUUCGACUGGUGAGUUCUUGGACAUGUUUUUUGGAGAAAUUCAAUAAGGCAGAGGCAUGUCGAGGAUUGUUAAUGGCUGAAGCUGCUUUGCUUGAAAAGAGAAGACGAAGAAGAGACCAGAGAGCAAAAACAAUGGCGAUUCGGUUCGAAUUCAGACACGAGGAGGAAGUAGAAGAGAAAAGUCUCUUGUUGUCUUUUUGUGUUCACAUUCAACAAGGAGAGAGAGGGGGAAGACGAGUGGCUAUUGGUUGAGAAUCGUGGGUGUUGAAAUAUUGAUUCAUUUAUUUCUUAUUUAACAAAAAUCCAAAAAUUAAUUAAUUCAAUUUAGGGAGAUUGAUUAUUUUCUCAUUGAA